RNAcentral lists this ribosomal RNA (440 nucleotides) under uncultured bacterium. RNAcentral describes it as "partial 16S ribosomal RNA". It matches the Rfam family "Bacterial small subunit ribosomal RNA", at positions 338 to 795 of the family's 1533-position model. The record is from RNAcentral.
CCUACGGGAGGCAGCAGUAGGGAAUAUUGCUCAAUGGGGGAAACCCUGAAGCAGCAACGCCGCGUGGAGGAUGAAGGUUUUCGGAUUGUAAACUCCUUUUGUUAGAGAAGAUAAUGACGGUAUCUAACGAAUAAGCACCGGCUAACUCUGUGCCAGCAGACGCGGUAAUACGGAGGGUGCAAGCGUUACCCGGAAUCACUGGGCGUAAAGAGGGCGUAGGCGGGAUAGCAAGUCAGAUGUGAAAUCCUAUGGCUUAACCAUAGAACUGCAUUUGAAACUGUUAUUCUAGAGUAUGGGAGAGGUAGGUGGAAUUCUUGGUGUAGGGGUAAAAUCCGUAGAGAUCAAGAGGAAUACUCAUUGCGAAGGCGACCUGCUAGAACAUAACUGACGCUGAUGCGCGAAAGCGUGGGGAGCAAACAGGAUUAGAUACACCAGUAGUC